This is a long non-coding RNA of Esox lucius (northern pike), 2487 nucleotides long. RefSeq lists it as uncharacterized. The record is from RefSeq and is a predicted model, not a curated record. The transcript is spliced from 2 exons. NCBI's taxonomy places the organism in Eukaryota, Metazoa, Chordata, Actinopteri, Esociformes, Esocidae.
AUCCACAAUUGGUACCGAUUUUAAACUUUUACAGCCUAUUUCUGUUAUUUUUUGGCAUGUGAACUUAAGAAUUUUGUAAACGCAUUUCCCCUUUCGGCGAAAGGUAUCUGGUAUUGUGGAAAGAGCGACGCUUCUCGAGUCGUGACUGCUUGUGAGUAACACGCGUACUGCGUCAGUGGCGGCUGGCACCGCGCGCUCGAGACAGAUGGAGGGAAUCGUGACAGAUUGGAGGAGCCACAAAUGAAAGUCCUGGCCAAUCCAAUCCGCAGAAGAGGCCGUAGAGUAGGCCUACAGGAACUUUGGGGUUGCAAUCGAUAUGCUUUCUUAAAUAACCCUUAUUUUUCUCACGCAACGAAAUACAUCCAACAGGCAAAAGCUACUGUAUGUUAUAAAGAACGUAGCCUACGAUAGGGUGUGAUAUAAAAAUAUUAUCUUUUGCAAUCCCUGGCUCACACAAGCGUAGACAUUGGCUCUCAAAACAAAAAGACAACUCAGACUGGGUUCCGAUCGCUCUUACAGACAACCCAGCUGCUAAAGGCAAUGAUCAGCCGUUUGUGAAGAUCGUUUUCAAAGUAAACACUGCGGAUGCCGGCUCAAUUAGUAAUUGACUGUCUUUGCAAUGUUCGCGAGAACACAAAUCUCCUGCAGGUGGGAAGGAAUUCCAGCAUUGACUUUAAUGUGGAUGUCCAGUGGAAUAUGUAAUAUUACAAAUACGUUCCUGUGAUAAUUAAUGCUUUUUAGUACUUGAGUUUGAAUGUAUAUUAAGGGGAAAUGUAGUGCCUCAAAGCGGGAUGAAGCAUGUAUGUUGUCCGCAGAUGUAAUCAUCCAUUAACUAAAUUAAAUAGGCUCCUUCUCUCACACCCUCAGAUAGUUCGUUUGCUUAGGGGUCAGGCUGAUUUGAUUGCAGUUGUUUUGUACGAGAUGCUCCAAAUUCUUGCACAAGGCAAGACACGGGUAAUAGUUUUUCGAAAGCGUUCUUCAGCUGUGCACAUACAAAACACUCAGUUCCGAACUGAUCCCUUUGGGGGGUUUGUUUAGAACCAUAUUUGUUAAGGGUUCUCGUGGAACCCACAAGCGUUCUGCCUAGAAUCAAAGGUGUUCUAACUAGAACAAACGGGUUAUCCAAAGGGUUCCCCCACAUUGCAAAUCAAACCUUUCCAAACCCUUUGGAACCUUUUUUGUUUGUGUCUUUCUUUCUUUCGUUUUUUUGUUGGAGGAGGGGGGGUCCCUACUGGGAUGUGUAGCGAUUGGUGGGCCACGAUGACGAGUUAUAUACUCUCCAAUGAAAGCUUUCGCUGCCAUCUAUUUACUGGGUGUUGGAACAGAGUAGCGUUUCUGCCUAGUGCACAGCCAUCCGCAGGCAGCCGGAGACCGGCUCUCCAUCAGGCGAUGUUACGAGUAAGCGAGGACGUAGGCUUACUGCGAUGGAUGCUGCUUUAGUGAGAAAACAACGUUUUUGUUGCCUGAAUCGAUAUGGUUAAGUCGAAUGAGUUUGCAAUAUUGGUAAACCAAGGCAAGACUCUUGCGCGAAGAGAACUGAGUGUUGUAGGCUACCAAUUUCUGAACAGAUGCACUUGGUGUGGAUGAGAGACAGUGGAAGCCAGAAGACUCUUUUACGGUAGUAGUUCGUGGAGUGAAGUGGAUCUGGACCCAUAGAUUGUCCGUCACGAAUCUUUUUGCGGUCUGGGCUUGCUGUUCAUAAAAAUCCGUGUGGGAAGCCCUUACCCCAAAAAGCAUUUGUGGAGGACUAAGUCGCCGAAUUGAAUAUAUUGCAUUCAUUGGUCACUGAUAUUGUUGUUGUCAUAUCAUUACAAAUGUUUAAUUGUUGAUGGAUUUUUUAGUUAAAUAAUACUUACAGUAGAGAAGAGUUCUGAGCGCGUCAAAAUACUGAAAUUGUUAAACACCUGUUAAUCCCUUCUAGAUGACACACGCAAGCACACACACACACACACACACACACACACACACACACACACACACACACACACACACACACACACAGUCAGUUGAAUAACUUUCCAAGCUGCCAUUGUACUUCUAUGUUUGACUUCUAUGUUCAAAUACGUUUCUAUAGGCGUAGAAAUGAACUGAACUGAUCAAAAUCACAGGUUAAAAGUGUGUCAUUGAUGGUUUUUGAAGUAAGGCCAACCUAUUCUAUUACAAAUAGGGAAUUAAUUUACAACAUGGUACUUUUGUAACCUGCUAUUAUAGGAAAACAAUUCAAAAUACCAUCACUAGUGGGAUGGCAUCAGAAAACAUAAUUAAUUUAAUUGUUGUUCAAAUAAUACGUUUAUGAAAUCAAGCUUAUAUUGUCUGACACACGUGCCGGAAUAUGCCUGCAAAUGUUUUAUUGUUUGUUUAUUUUUUAUUUUCAAUAUUUGUUCAUAAUUAAAUUAUAUCUCACAAGUUCGUACUAGUUAUGCAUUCUCAAAAAAGUUAUUUGUGAGUAUUGUAUGAGUGUGCUGUUUAAAUAAAAUGCUGAUUAUG